Molecule: ribosomal RNA, 250 nt
Filed under: uncultured bacterium
Lineage: Bacteria
Description: partial 16S ribosomal RNA
Rfam family: Bacterial small subunit ribosomal RNA
Source: RNAcentral
UACGUAGGUGGCAAGCGUUGUCCGGAUUUACUGGGUGUAAAGGGCGCGUAGGCGGGAGAGCAAGUCAGAUGUGAAAUGUGGGGGCUUAACCCUCAAGCUGCAUUUGAAACUGUUUUUCUUGAGUAUCGGAGAGGCAGGCGGAAUUCCUAGUGUAGCGGUGAAAUGCGUAGAUAUUAGGAGGAACACCAGUGGCGAAGGCGGCCUGCUGGACGACAACUGACGCUGAGGCGCGAAAGCGUGGGGAGCAAAC